This 433-nucleotide ribosomal RNA is filed under the name uncultured bacterium. Its description in RNAcentral is "partial 16S ribosomal RNA". It matches the Rfam family "Bacterial small subunit ribosomal RNA", at positions 29 to 507 of the family's 1533-position model. The record is from RNAcentral.
AACGAACGCUGGCGGCAUGCCUAACACAUGCAAGUCGAACGAGACCUCCGGGUCUAGUGGCGCACGGGUGCGUAACGCGUGGGAACCUGCCCUUAGGUUCGGAAUACCUCCCCGAAAGGGGUGCUAAUACCGGAUAAUGUCUUCGGACCAAAGAUUUAUCGCCUUUGGAUGGGCCCGCGUUGGAUUAGCUAGUUGGUAGGGUAAAAGCCUACCAAGGCGACGAUCCAUAGCUGGUCUGAGAGGAUGAUCAGCCACACUGGGACUGAGACACGGCCCAGACUCCUACGGGAGGGAGCAGAGGGGAAUAUUGGACAAUGGGCGAAAGCCUGAUCCAGCAAUGCCGCGUGAGUGAUGAAGGCCUUAGGGUUGUAAAGCUCUUUUACCCGGGAUGAUAAUGACAGUACCGGGAGAAUAAGCACCGGCUAACUCCGUG